This 257-nucleotide unclassified non-coding RNA is filed under the name uncultured fungus. Its description in RNAcentral is "partial contains 5.8S ribosomal RNA, internal transcribed spacer 2, and large subunit ribosomal RNA". Lineage: Eukaryota; Fungi. The record is from RNAcentral.
AACGCACAUUGCGCCCCGUGGCAUUCCGCGGGGCACGCCUGUCCGAGCGUCAGUUCGUCCCUCCAGCCUGGCUGGGUGUUGGGCCGCGCCCCUCCGCGGGCGGGCCUUAAACCUCUGGGCGGCGGCACCCGCACCCCUGCGCGAUCAGGAGCACUCCUCCACGCGCCGGCCCAGGUGACGCCCGCCGCGAACCGGCCCCCUCGUGGGCCACCCUUCGUUUUGACCUCGGAUCAGGCGGGGAUACCCGCUGAACUUAA